Long non-coding RNA from Papaver somniferum (opium poppy), 2386 nucleotides. RefSeq lists it as uncharacterized. The record is from RefSeq and is a predicted model, not a curated record. The transcript is spliced from 3 exons. Lineage: Eukaryota; Viridiplantae; Streptophyta; Magnoliopsida; Ranunculales; Papaveraceae.
GAGAGUUCGAGAGAAAGAGAUCGAUACCAGAGAGAGAUAUCGAGUGCUAGAGAUAAUCAUGAGUUAGAGAGAUCAGUUCGACUAAUCUUCCCAUAUUCUUCAUUUGAUUUCAUUCGGAGAUCGAUACCAGAGAGAGAUAUCAAACAAUCAGAGAGCAUCCAAUCAUGCCGGUCCCUCAAACAAUGCAUCAAGUACAGUGGCAUCAGAUUUACAAGUACAAGUACAACCAACAAGUGUGCAAGCUUCUGAAAGUAACACAACACUUGCGAUUCAUCCAAGAGAAGAACAAGAAGUAGAGAAAGAUCUAGAUGUAGCUGAAACAAAGAAGAAACUAAGAACAACAAGGUCUGAUGUAUGGCUUGAAUUUAAUAGACUUGUUAUUAAAAAGGUUGGACCAGAUGGGAAGGAGGUAUCAACUAUUAUAGGUAAAUGCAAACACUGUUUUAAGAGAAUUGAUGCACCAAGCUCAAAUGGAACCAGUGGCUUGAGAUCUCAUCUAAGGACCUGCAAAACGAAGCCAGAGAAUCAACCUGGACAAAGAAAAAUAACUUCUAUCAAAACAGGUAACACACAAACGAAGUUAGCUAAUUGGAAAUAUGAUCCUGAUGCUUCUAGAAUACUUUCUGCUAAGAUGACUGCCAAACAUGAUUAUCCAAUAAAUAUGGGUGAGCAUUCAUAUUUUAGAGAGUAUGUUAGGUCUCUGAAUCCUUCUGCUAAGUGUUACAGUAGGAAUACAACUAGGGAAGAUAUCAUGAAACUGUAUGGUGAGUUCAUAAAGGAAUUACAAGAAUAAUUUGACACAAUAACAUCUAAAUGCAGUUUAACAACAGAUAUGUGGACAUGUAAACAUACAAAAGAUGGUUAUUGUUGUGUUACAAUGCAUUACAUAGAUGAUGAAUGAAAACUAAUUAAGAAAACUCUAGCAUAUAUUUUAUUGCCAUCACCACAUACUGGAGAAGUUCUAGGAGAUUUUGUGAAAUCAGUAGCCCUAGAUUGAAAUAUAGAUAAUAAGCUUUUUGUUGUUGCUGCUGACAAUGCUAGAGCCAAUGAUGUUAUGAUGGCAAAUCUGAAGACUUGGCUUAAGAGUAAGGAUUGUCUAGUUCUUGAAUGGGACUUGUUUCAAAUGAGAUGUAGCAAUCAUAUAUUGCAUUUAAUUGUAGGAUGUGGGAUGGUAGUAGCUACUCCAUUUAUAAAUAGUAUUAGAGAGUGUGUCAAAUACGUCAAGUCAAGUCAGGCUAAAAAAGAGAGGUCUGCAAAUUCUUUAGCACAAGUGAAGCUUCCUGGAAGGUUUGUUGGUUUAGAUCUAGACACCAGAUGGAACUCCAUGUUUUAUAUGCUUAGGGAUGCAAUUGAAUUGAGACAAGGGUUUGUUAGGAUAGCUGAACUGGAUUCAGACUUCACUAUACUACCAAGUUCUCAGGAUUGGCAACAAGGAAUAUAUAUAUGUGAGUGGUUGGCAGUGUUUGAUGCGCUUUCAACUAAAUUUGCUGGGAUUAAAUAACCAACGGCAAAUAUGUAUUAUAAUGGGGUGUAUGAGGUCAAUAAAUGCAUCAAAGGAUGGGAAACUAGUACACAUGAAUAUAUCAGAGAUAUGGCAUUGAAGAUGAGGUCAAAGUUUGAUAGCUAUUGGAAAGAGUGUAACCUGUUGAUGAGCAUUGGAGUGGUUUUAGAUCCUAGGUACAAGGCUAGAUGGGUAGAGUUUGUUUUCAAGAGAUUACAUGGUUCGCAGAAUUAUCAUACUCAUUAUAACAAAUUUCAGAUAGCACUCAACGCACUUUUCUCUUCUUAUGAAAGCAACUCUAUAGUUCCAGAUUAUUUUGGUAAUUCAUCUAGUGGAAUGGGUUCAGCUGGAAUUGAGACUUCUACAACUACAUCAACUAGAAGUGAUUUUGAUUAUGAUGAGUUUAUGAUGGAAAACAGUGAUGUUGAGGUGCAGAAGUCAGAGUUGGAGAAAUACUUGGAGGAACCACUGCUUCCUAAAGGCACUCCCACAGAAGAAUUGAGGUUUGAUAUAUUGAGUUGGUGGAAUAAUCAUGCACCUGAGUACCCAACUCUCGCAAAGAUUGCAAGAGAUGUGUUGGCUGUUCCAGUGACAAGUGUAGCAUCAUAAUCCAUGUUUAGUAAUGGUGGUAGGGUUCUUACAGCUCACAGGAGUUCAUUAGCUCCAGAAUUGGUUCAAGCAUUACUUUGCUUAAGUGAUUGGUUGCCAGAUCUCAAUGACAUUGAUGUACAAAUAAUUUGAAGUUGAAUGUACAAGGAUUAAAGAGGAAGGAAGGACCGGAUGCAGGCAUGCUAAAGCUUCUUAAAUGUUUUUGAAUUUCUUUGUGUUUUUCUUUGCAAGAACAUGUAACUAAGUAAAUUUGGAACAUUGUGUGUGUACACUGUG